Molecule: ribosomal RNA, 440 nt
Filed under: uncultured bacterium
Lineage: Bacteria
Description: partial 16S ribosomal RNA
Rfam family: Bacterial small subunit ribosomal RNA
Source: RNAcentral
CCUACGGGUGGCAGCAGUAGGGAAUAUUGCUCAAUGGGGGAAACCCUGAAGCAGCAACGCCGCGUGGAGGAUGAAGGUUUUCGGAUUGUAAACUCCUUUUGUUAGAGAAGAUAAUGACGGUAUCUAACGAAUAAGCACCGGCUAACUCCGUGCCAGCAGCCGCGGUAAUCCGGAGGGUGCAAGCGUUACUCGGAAUCACUGGGCGUAAAGAGCGCGUAGGCGGGUUAGCAAGUCAGAUGUGAAAUCCUAUGGCUUAACCAUAGAAGUGCAUUUGAAACUGUUAGUCUAGAGUAGGGGAGGGGUAGGGGGAAUGCUUGGUGUAGGGGUAAAAUCCGUAGAGAUCAAGAGGAAUACUCAUUGCGAAGGCAGCCUACUAGAACAUAACUGACGCUGAUGUGCGAAAGCGUGGGGAUCAAACAGGAUUAGAGACCCUGGUAGUC